GUUUAAAGCUACAUGGUUUCCAUGUCGCGUUGUAAAUUCNAGAAACGUUUCUCAUACAGCCCCGGUUUAAGUUCGCUGGAAUGCGAUAUCAUAGAGGGUGAGAAUCCCGUCUGUGACUGGGUGUCUGUGUGUCUACGAUACGUUUUCGAAGAGUCAGGUUGUUUGGGAAUGCAGCCUAAAAUGGGUGGUAAAUUUCAUCUAAAGCUAAAUAUUGCCACGAGACCGAUAGCGAACAAGUACCGUGAGGGAAAGAUGAAAAGAACUUUGAAAAGAGAGUUAAAUAGUACGUGAAACUGUUAAAAGGGAAUCAUAUGAGGCUAGUAUUUGUACUUGUCAUAAUCAAUCAGACGUCUUGAAGCCUAGCAGAUGCAAGAGUGUUAAAGCCUUGUUUUGUUAGUUCGGAUGGAGCGGCUGGUGCACUUGUGAUUUGUUCAGGCCAACAUCAGUUUGAAGUGGUGUAUAUGGCUACUGGGAAGGUGACUUUGGCCCUUGUGGUUAGAGUGUUAUAGCCCUUUAGCACUACAUGGCGUCAGACUGAGGAGUCGCGGAACGUGCCUUUUUGGCUAGCUCCCUGCUUCAUAGGGGUCUCAUCCGAGAAUAUGGGUUCAAUAUCCUGUUUUUGAUGUGAGAUCACUACGAGGUAGGUGCAGUAUAAACGUUUUGAGGAUGUUGGUGAAAUGGCCUUAUCUGUCCCGUCUUGAAACACGGACCAAGGAGUCUAACAUAUAUGCGAGUCUUUGGGUGACAAACCCGCAGGCGCAAUGAAAGUGAAGGCUAACAUGGUUAGCUGAGGUGAGAUCCGCAAGGUGCAUCAUCGACCGAUCUGAAUGGUUUCCUGAAAGAUUUGAGUAAGAGCACAUAUGUUGGGACCCGAAAGAUGGUGAACUAUGCCUGAAUAGGGUGAAGUCUGAAGAAAUUCAGAUGGAAGCUCGUAGCGAUUCUGACGUGCAAAUCGAUCGUCAAAUUUGGGUAUAGGGGCGAAAGACUAAUCGAACUAUCUAGUAGCUGGUUCCCUCCGAAGUUUCCCUCAGGAUAGCUGGAACUAUAACGCAGUUUUAUCAGGUAAAGCGAAUGAUUAGAGGACUCGGUGGCGCAAUGCUGUCGGCCUAUUCUCAAACUUUAAAUAGGUAAGAAGUCUGACUUGCUUAAUUGAAGCCAGACACUGAAUGCAAGUUCCAUGUGGGCCAUUUUUGGUAAGCAGAACUGGCGAUGCGGGAUGAACCGAACGUGAAGUUAAAGUGCCAAAGUACACGCUCACCUAGAACCCAGAAAAGGUGUUGGUAGAUGAAGACAGCAGGACGGUGGCCAUGGAAGUCGGAAUCCGCUAAGGAGUGUGUAACAACUCACCUGCCGAAUCUACUAGCCCUGAAAAUGGAUGGCGCUCAAGCGUGUCACUUAUACUUCACCGUCAGGGCAAAUGCGAAGCUUUGACGAGUAGGAGGGCGUGAAGGUUGUGAAGAAGCCUAGAGCGUAAGCUUGGGUGAAACGGCC
Molecule: ribosomal RNA, 1491 nt
Filed under: Creolimax fragrantissima
Lineage: Eukaryota; Ichthyosporea; Ichthyophonida
Description: eukaryotic LSU rRNA
Rfam family: Eukaryotic large subunit ribosomal RNA
Source: RNAcentral